UCAGAGAUGUUGAAUAAAACAGCUUUGGGAGUCUCUGCCCAGUAGAUAAUCAUGCAGGUCUUGUUAGGCAGCGCGCUGGGAUCUGGAGGACACUGAGAGCUGCCAGAAAGGCGCUGGGACAUGCUUUCUUGGAUGGCAAUUUCACUGCACCAUAUGUGUCUCUCACAAGAUAGCAGAG
Pipra filicauda (Wire-tailed manakin) is the source of this 178-nucleotide long non-coding RNA. RefSeq lists it as uncharacterized. Lineage: Eukaryota; Metazoa; Chordata; Aves; Passeriformes; Pipridae. The record is from RefSeq and is a predicted model, not a curated record. The transcript has 3 exons.